GACAGAAUAGAGAUUGAGAGCAGAGAAAAUGAUCCUCCGUCUCCGAGAAAAAAGGGUUUUGUUUUGGAAAGCCACAUCGAGGUGGGUUUUAGCAAAUUGCGGACUAGAUAUUAUAGAGCGCCAUGAUUUGGAUACACACCUGAAUCUGCACAGAGAUUUGACGGGUAAUCUAAGGAGAACCUCUAGAAUGAUUUCUUGAGGGAGGGUUGGGACCGUAGCUUCUAGUUCUCCUUCACAAGACAGAUUCCUUGUGUGCUUGUUGCUUCCCACCAUCACUAUCGAUCAAUAUUCGCAACAGGAAAGAUUAUGAAGGUUUUGGCACUAAUUUUCGUUUUCGCCCCAUAAAAUUUGAUCGGAAGCGAGGCGUUUUCG
This 372-nucleotide unclassified non-coding RNA is filed under the name Hevea brasiliensis (rubber tree). Lineage: Eukaryota; Viridiplantae; Streptophyta; Magnoliopsida; Malpighiales; Euphorbiaceae. The record is from RNAcentral.